AUCUAUACACUUCUGUAUGGGAGAAUAGCCAAUUCAGAGUCUGGAAACCAGAAUUCUAGUCAUAGUUUUAUCUCUAACUAGUCAAGUGAUCCUAGGAAAGUUAUAUCACCUCUUUAGGGCAAGGCAACAUUUGGCCUGUAGCCUUCACCUCUGGAAACAAGUUCCCUUUCAUUACUCUUCACUGAGAGUCAAAAUGUGCAAGGGCCGGGAGCAGUGGCUCAUGCCUGUAAUCCCAGCACUUUGGGAGGCCGGGGCAGGCAGACCACCUGAGGUCAGGAGUUCAAGA
RNAcentral lists this long non-coding RNA (286 nucleotides) under Homo sapiens (human). RNAcentral describes it as "non-protein coding lnc-TNFSF10-4:1". The record is from RNAcentral. Lineage: Eukaryota; Metazoa; Chordata; Mammalia; Primates; Hominidae.